Molecule: long non-coding RNA, 1016 nt
Organism: Daphnia magna
Lineage: Eukaryota; Metazoa; Arthropoda; Branchiopoda; Diplostraca; Daphniidae
Exons: 7
Source: RefSeq, a predicted model, not a curated record
UAAAGUGACCUGCCCAAAAGAAGAAGUUAGUGCUGUUGUUAUCUCUCAGAGAAAAUUUGUCUGUUAAAUUGUAUUCCUAAACUGUACAAAUGAUAAAUAUAGACGUAAUUAAUUACAUCCCUCUGAUUUAAGACAUUUACGGCUCUUCGUGAAUGGAUAAGAAGCAACCUCAUUUGCAAGCAAUGUCUCUAGAUUCAGAAUAUCCAACAGGCCAGUCCUACGAUCUGGGAUGUUUUGGGUGACAACUGACAAGCAGAUGUUUGUCCCCCAUAGGAAUCUCCCAUAUGUCACUUUUAUUGUAGCUGACAGUGACUGUAAUUAUGGCUUACUUAGCCAUGCUUAUCAAGAGCUGCCCACUUGGUUCACCAGCCUAAAAACUAUCAUCUUCAAAAGCUUCCAGAUUUGUUAUGGUCGUAGAACAGCAGACGACGGAGUUCAAAGUGGCAUUGUACCAUCGGGCAGAACCCAAACGGUCGAUGCAUUGAAAAUGUCGGACCUAUGUUGAUGAAUUUUCACCAGCACUCUUCCACAAGACGCACGCGAAGCAAACGAUAGCGAAGGAGAUAUGGACUUGAAUUGAGAGUUCGGGAACGAAAUUAGAUGUGGAUGGGUUUGCUGUUGACAUGCAAGGGAAGGAUUUUUACCAAACAAGACAGCAACGAAAUUUGUUGUGGCUGGUUUUGUUGUUGACAAGCUAGGGAAGGAUUUUUUUUACCAAAGUAGACAGAAUAUUUAUUCUAAAUCCCACAAUGUCCUGGUAGUAAAUUACUACAAAUCAUACUGAAUUAGAAUAGGAUUUUGACUGAGGCUGGGUGCCAAAACAAUGGAUGGUAAUUGGAAGCACGAUUGGAAAUAUCCAUGAUUUAUUAACGUUCCUCAUGUUACGGUAUUUUAUUAAAGGCAAAUUGAAGUGCAUAUCUGGGCUCCCUUCUUUUCUGUGGCCCCGUUUCCCCUUGACUCAUAAUAAGCCCGUAGGGGGUCAUGCCCCUACUGUACGGUAUAUAUAAAAACAACAU